AGAGAACUUAGCAGAGAUGCUUUGGUGCCUUCGGGAACUCUGAGACAGGUGCUGCAUGGCUGUCGUCAGCUCGUGUUGUGAAAUGUUGGGUUAAGUCCCGCAACGAGCGCAACCCUUAUCCUUUGUUGCCAGCGGUUCAGCCGGGAACUCAAAGGAGACUGCCGGUGAUAAACCGGAGGAAGGUGGGGAUGACGUCAAGUCAUCAUGGCCCUUACGGCCAGGGCUACACACGUGCUACAAUGGCGCAUACAAAGAGAAGCGACCUCGCGAGAGCAAGCGGACCUCAUAAAGUGCGUCGUAGUCCGGAUUGGAGUCUGCAACUCGACUCCAUGAAGUCGGAAUCGCUAGUAAUCGUAGAUCAGAAUGCUACGGUGAAUACGUUCCCGGGCCUUGUACACACCGCCCGUCACACCAUGGGAGUGGGUUGCAAAAGAAGUAGGUAGCUUAACCUUCGGGAGGGCGCUUACCACUUUGUGAUUCAUGACUGGGGUGAAGUCGUAACAAGGUAGGCGUAGCGAG
This 519-nucleotide ribosomal RNA is filed under the name uncultured bacterium. Its description in RNAcentral is "bacterial SSU rRNA". It matches the Rfam family "Bacterial small subunit ribosomal RNA", at positions 990 to 1509 of the family's 1533-position model. The record is from RNAcentral.